CGGCAGUGCUCGGGCCGCCUGGCGGGAGGCGCCUCCCGCCGCCCGGCCCGCCACAGGCGGCGGGGGCCGAGACGGGCCCGUCUCCGCCGCGGGAGCGUGCUGGCGCGGUUUGCCCCCCUGCCUUUGCUCGCUGCCCCUACGUGACUGCAUGUGGCAAACGGGAGAGAAAUAUUAAUCGUUUAAAAGCGAUGCACCAUGCAAAAAUCUCAUUGUUAGACCAGGACAGUGCAUUUUACAAAACAGGAAAAGGAGUUCCAGAAUGAUGAAGAAUGGAUCAACGUUCUUGUCAGAGCCUGACUUUCAACAAAAAGGGUGGUAGGGCUGAAAGCAACAGGAUCAAACAUCUCAAGCCUGCUGCUAGAUGUUGUGGUCUGACAAACUACAUGGCUUCUGUUAUCAAAACAGGUUCUACAGUCCGCAGUCAGACACCCCUGGAAAGAAGCUUUGUUGUGUGUUUCUC
Molecule: long non-coding RNA, 460 nt
Filed under: Apteryx rowi (Okarito brown kiwi)
Lineage: Eukaryota; Metazoa; Chordata; Aves; Apterygiformes; Apterygidae
Description: lncRNA (ENSARWG00000004844.1)
Source: RNAcentral